AAAUUGAAGAGUUUGAUCAUGGCUCAGAUUGAACGCUGGCGGCAGGCCUAACACAUGCAAGUCGAACGGUAACAGGAAACAGCUUGCUGUUUCGCUGACGAGUGGCGGACGGGUGAGUAAUGUCUGGGAAACUGCCUGAUGGAGGGGGAUAACUACUGGAAACGGUAGCUAAUACCGCAUAACGUCGCAAGACCAAAGAGGGGGACCCUCGGGCCUCUUGCCAUCGGAUGUGCCCAGAUGGGAUUAGCUUGUUGGUGGGGUAACGGCUCACCAAGGCGACGAUCCCUAGCUGGUCUGAGAGGAUGACCAGCCACACUGGAACUGAGACACGGUCCAGACUCCUACGGGAGGCAGCAGUGGGGAAUAUUGCACAAUGGGCGCAAGCCUGAUGCAGCCAUGCCGCGUGUAUGAAGAAGGCCUUCGGGUUGUAAAGUACUUUCAGCGGGGAGGAAGGGAGUAAAGUUAAUA
This 468-nucleotide ribosomal RNA is filed under the name Escherichia coli. RNAcentral describes it as "bacterial SSU rRNA". It matches the Rfam family "Bacterial small subunit ribosomal RNA", at positions 1 to 465 of the family's 1533-position model. Lineage: Bacteria; Pseudomonadati; Pseudomonadota; Gammaproteobacteria; Enterobacterales; Enterobacteriaceae. The record is from RNAcentral.